ACUCAAUAGAUACCCGGGUAGUCCACGCCCUAAACGAUGUCGACUGGUUGUUGGGGGUUUGACACUCUCAGUAAACGAAAGCUAAACGCGUGAAGUCGACCGCCUGGGGAGUACGGCCGCAAGGUUAAAACUCAAAGGAAUUGACGGGGACCCGCACAAGCGGUGGAUUAUGUGGAUUAAUUCGAUGCAACGCGAAAAACCUUACCUACCCUUGACAUGUCCGGAAGGCUUGAGAGAUCAGGCUGUGCCCGAAAGGGAACCGGAACACAGGUGCUGCAUGGCUGUCGUCAGCUCGUGUCGUGAGAUGUUGGGUUAAGUCCCGCAACGAGCGCAACCCUUGUCAUUAGUUGCUACAUUCAGUUGGGCACUCUAAUGAGACUGCCGGUGACAAACCGGAGGAAGGUGGGGAUGACGUCAAGUCCUCAUGGCCCUUAUGGGUAGGGCUUCACACGUAAUACAAUGGCGCGUACAGAGGGUUGCCAAGCCGCGAGGUGGAGCCAAUCCCUUAAAGCGCGUCGUAGUCCGGAUUGCAGUCUGCAACUCG
This 544-nucleotide ribosomal RNA is filed under the name uncultured bacterium. Its description in RNAcentral is "bacterial SSU rRNA". It matches the Rfam family "Bacterial small subunit ribosomal RNA", at positions 772 to 1314 of the family's 1533-position model. The record is from RNAcentral.